This 27-nucleotide small RNA is filed under the name Bombyx mori (domestic silkworm). Its description in RNAcentral is "ovarian small RNA-10842". The record is from RNAcentral. Lineage: Eukaryota; Metazoa; Arthropoda; Insecta; Lepidoptera; Bombycidae.
AAUGGAUUAGUUUCAGAUACUUGCUGC